UACGUAGGGUGCGAGCGUUGUCCGGAAUUACUGGGCGUAAAGAGCUCGUAGGCGGUGUGUCGCGUCGGCCGUGAAAACCUGGGGCUCAACUCUGGGCGUGCGGUCGAUACGGGCAUCACUUGAGUUCGGCAGGGGAGACUGGAAUUUCUGGUGUAGCGGUGAAAUGCGCAGAUAUCAGGAGGAACACCGGUGGCGAAGGCGGCUCUCUGGAACGCAACUGACGCUGAGACGCGAAAGCGUGGGGAGCAAACAGG
This 254-nucleotide ribosomal RNA is filed under the name uncultured bacterium. RNAcentral's name for it is "partial 16S ribosomal RNA". It matches the Rfam family "Bacterial small subunit ribosomal RNA", at positions 524 to 776 of the family's 1533-position model. The record is from RNAcentral.